UUGGAGGGCAAGUCUGGUGCCAGCAGCCGCGGUAAUUCCAGCUCCAAUAGCGUAUAUUAAAGUUGUUGCAGUUAAAAAGCUCGUAGUUGAAUUUCGGGGUUAGUAGGUUGGUCAUGCCACUGGUAUGUACUGGUCUCACUGAUUCCUCCUUCCUGAUGAGCCGUAAUGCCAUUAAUUUGGUGUUGCGAGGAAUCUGGACUGUUACUUUGAAAAAAUUAGAGUGUUUAAAGCAAGCUAACGCUUGAAUACAUUAGCAUGGAAUAAUGAAAUAGGACGUUCGAUCCUAUUUUGUUGGUUUCUAGGAUUGACGUAAUGAUUAAUAGGGAUAGUUGGGGGCAUUAGUAUUCAAUUGUCAGAGGUGAAAUUCUUGGAUUUAUUGAAGACUAACUACUGCGAAAGCAUUUGCCAAGGAUGUUUUCAUUAAUCAAGAACGAAAGUUAGGGGAUCGAAGACGAUCAGAUACCGUCGUAGUCUUAACCAUAAACUAUGCCGACUAGGGAUCGGAUGAUGUUAUUUUUAAUGACUCAUUCGGCGCCUUACGGGAAA
Molecule: ribosomal RNA, 546 nt
Filed under: uncultured Glomeromycotina
Lineage: Eukaryota; Fungi; Glomeromycota
Description: SSU rRNA
Rfam family: Eukaryotic small subunit ribosomal RNA
Source: RNAcentral